GGUUGUGGCUCGGUGGCAGAGCACCUACUUCACAAGCAGAAGGUCCCAGGUUCAAAAUCUCCACCGGCAGCAUCU
Non-coding RNA from Podarcis lilfordi (Lilford's wall lizard), 75 nucleotides. NCBI's taxonomy places the organism in Eukaryota, Metazoa, Chordata, Lepidosauria, Squamata, Lacertidae. The record is from the annotation of a GenBank genome assembly.